RNAcentral lists this ribosomal RNA (641 nucleotides) under Paragaeumannomyces sp. RNAcentral's name for it is "partial large subunit ribosomal RNA". It matches the Rfam family "Eukaryotic large subunit ribosomal RNA", at positions 1 to 667 of the family's 3401-position model. The record is from RNAcentral. Lineage: Eukaryota; Fungi; Ascomycota; Sordariomycetes; Chaetosphaeriales; Chaetosphaeriaceae.
UUGACCUCGGAUCAGGUAGGAAUACCCGCUGAACUUAAGCAUAUCAAUAAGCGGAGGAAAAGAAACCAACAGGGAUUGCCCUAGUAACGGCGAGUGAAGCGGCAACAGCUCAAAUUUGAAAUCUGGCCCUAGGCCCGAGUUGUAAUUUGCAGAGGAUGCUUCGGGCGCGGCGCCUUCCAAGUCCCCUGGAACGGGGCGCCAGAGAGGGUGAGAGCCCCGUACUGUCGGACGCCAAGCCUGUGUGAAGCUCCUUCGACGAGUCGAGUAGUUUGGGAAUGCUGCUCAAAAUGGGAGGUAGACCCCUUCUAAAGCUAAAUACCGGCCAGAGACCGAUAGCGCACAAGUAGAGUGAUCGAAAGAUGAAAAGCACUUUGAAAAGAGGGUUAAAUAGCACGUGAAAUUGUUGAAAGGGAAGCGCUUGUGACCAGACUUGCACUGGGGCGAUCAUCUGGCGUUCUCGCCAGUGCACUCGCCCCAGUUCAGGCCAGGGUCGGUUCGCGCGGGGGGAUAAAGACAUUGGGAACGUGGCUCCCCCGGGAGUGUUAUAGCCCAGUGUGUCAUGCCCUCGCGUGGACCGAGGUUCGCGCUCUGCAAGGACGCUGGCGUAAUGGUUACUAGCGACCCGUCUUGAAACACGGACC